UUCGACACACUAUCAUUAACUGAAUCCAUAGGUUAAUGAGGCGAACCGGGGGAACUGAAACAUCUAAGUACCCCGAGGAAAAGAAAUCAACCGAGAUUCCCCCAGUAGCGGCGAGCGAACGGGGAGCAGCCCAGAGCCUGAAUCAGUGUGUGUGUUAGUGGAAGCGUCUGGAAAGGCGCGCGAUACAGGGUGACAGCCCCGUACACAAAAAUGCACAUGCUGUGAGCUCGAUGAGUAGGGCGGGACACGUGGUAUCCUGUCUGAAUAUGGGGGGACCAUCCUCCAAGGCUAAAUACUCCUGACUGACCGAUAGUGAACCAGUACCGUGAGGGAAAGGCGAAAAGAACCCCGGCGAGGGGAGUGAAAAAGAACCUGAAACCGUGUACGUACAAGCAGUGGGAGCACGCUUAGGCGUGUGACUGCGUACCUUUUGUAUAAUGGGUCAGCGACUUAUAUUCUGUAGCAAGGUUAACCGAAUAGGGGAGCCGAAGGGAAACCGAGUCUUAACUGGGCGUUAAGUUGCAGGGUAUAGACCCGAAACCCGGUGAUCUAGCCAUGGGCAGGUUGAAGGUUGGGUAACACUAACUGGAGGACCGAACCGACUAAUGUUGAAAAAUUAGCGGAUGACUUGUGGCUGGGGGUGAAAGGCCAAUCAAACCGGGAGAUAGCUGGUUCUCCCCGAAAGCUAUUUAGGUAGCGCCUCGUGAAUUCAUCUCCGGGGGUAGAGCACUGUUUCGGCAAGGGGGUCAUCCCGACUUACCAACCCGAUGCAAACUGCGAAUACCGGAGAAUGUUAUCACGGGAGACACACGGCGGGUGCUAACGUCCGUCGUGAAGAGGGAAACAACCCAGACCGCCAGCUAAGGUCCCAAAGUCAUGGUUAAGUGGGAAACGAUGUGGGAAGGCCCAGACAGCCAGGAUGUUGGCUUAGAAGCAGCCAUCAUUUAAAGAAAGCGUAAUAGCUCACUGGUCGAGUCGGCCUGCGCGGAAGAUGUAACGGGGCUAAACCAUGCACCGAAGCUGCGGCAGCGACGCUUAUGCGUUGUUGGGUAGGGGAGCGUUCUGUAAGCCUGUGAAGGUGUGCUGUGAGGCAUGCUGGAGGUAUCAGAAGUGCGAAUGCUGACAUAAGUAACGAUAAAGCGGGUGAAAAGCCCGCUCGCCGGAAGACCAAGGGUUCCUGUCCAACGUUAAUCGGGGCAGGGUGAGUCGACCCCUAAGGCGAGGCCGAAAGGCGUAGUCGAUGGGAAACAGGUUAAUAUUCCUGUACUUGGUGUUACUGCGAAGGG
Molecule: ribosomal RNA, 1286 nt
Filed under: Escherichia coli
Lineage: Bacteria; Pseudomonadati; Pseudomonadota; Gammaproteobacteria; Enterobacterales; Enterobacteriaceae
Description: partial 23S ribosomal RNA
Rfam family: Bacterial large subunit ribosomal RNA
Source: RNAcentral